RNAcentral lists this ribosomal RNA (1351 nucleotides) under Lactiplantibacillus plantarum. RNAcentral describes it as "bacterial SSU rRNA". It matches the Rfam family "Bacterial small subunit ribosomal RNA", at positions 39 to 1358 of the family's 1533-position model. The record is from RNAcentral. Lineage: Bacteria; Bacillati; Bacillota; Bacilli; Lactobacillales; Lactobacillaceae.
GCGGGUGCCUAUACAUGCAAGUCGAACGAACUCUGGUAUUGAUUGGUGCUUGCAUCAUGAUUUACAUUUGAGUGAGUGGCGAACUGGUGAGUAACACGUGGGAAACCUGCCCAGAAGCGGGGGAUAACACCUGGAAACAGAUGCUAAUACCGCAUAACAACUUGGACCGCAUGGUCCGAGCUUGAAAGAUGGCUUCGGCUAUCACUUUUGGAUGGUCCCGCGGCGUAUUAGCUAGAUGGUGGGGUAACGGCUCACCAUGGCAAUGAUACGUAGCCGACCUGAGAGGGUAAUCGGCCACAUUGGGACUGAGACACGGCCCAAACUCCUACGGGAGGCAGCAGUAGGGAAUCUUCCACAAUGGACGAAAGUCUGAUGGAGCAACGCCGCGUGAGUGAAGAAGGGUUUCGGCUCGUAAAACUCUGUUGUUAAAGAAGAACAUAUCUGAGAGUAACUGUUCAGGUAUUGACGGUAUUUAACCAGAAAGCCACGGCUAACUACGUGCCAGCAGCCGCGGUAAUACGUAGGUGGCAAGCGUUGUCCGGAUUUAUUGGGCGUAAAGCGAGCGCAGGCGGUUUUUUAAGUCUGAUGUGAAAGCCUUCGGCUCAACCGAAGAAGUGCAUCGGAAACUGGGAAACUUGAGUGCAGAAGAGGACAGUGGAACUCCAUGUGUAGCGGUGAAAUGCGUAGAUAUAUGGAAGAACACCAGUGGCGAAGGCGGCUGUCUGGUCUGUAACUGACGCUGAGGCUCGAAAGUAUGGGUAGCAAACAGGAUUAGAUACCCUGGUAGUCCAUACCGUAAACGAUGAAUGCUAAGUGUUGGAGGGUUUCCGCCCUUCAGUGCUGCAGCUAACGCAUUAAGCAUUCCGCCUGGGGAGUACGGCCGCAAGGCUGAAACUCAAAGGAAUUGACGGGGGCCCGCACAAGCGGUGGAGCAUGUGGUUUAAUUCGAAGCUACGCGAAGAACCUUACCAGGUCUUGACAUACUAUGCAAAUCUAAGAGAUUAGACGUUCCCUUCGGGGACAUGGAUACAGGUGGUGCAUGGUUGUCGUCAGCUCGUGUCGUGAGAUGUUGGGUUAAGUCCCGCAACGAGCGCAACCCUUAUUAUCAGUUGCCAGCAUUAAGUUGGGCACUCUGGUGAGACUGCCGGUGACAAACCGGAGGAAGGUGGGGAUGACGUCAAAUCAUCAUGCCCCUUAUGACCUGGGCUACACACGUGCUACAAUGGAUGGUACAACGAGUUGCGAACUCGCGAGAGUAAGCUAAUCUCUUAAAGCCAUUCUCAGUUCGGAUUGUAGGCUGCAACUCGCCUACAUGAAGUCGGAAUCGCUAGUAAUCGCGGAUCAGCAGCCU